GACGAACGCUGGCGGCGUGCCUAAUACAUGCAAGUAGAACGCACAGUUUAUACCGUAGCUUGCUACACCAUAAACUGUGAGUUGCGAACGGGUGAGUAACGCGUAGGUAACCUGCCUGGUAGCGGGGGAUAACUAUUGGAAACGAUAGCUAAUACCGCAUAAUAUUGAUUAUUGCAUGAUAAUUGAUUGAAAGAUGCUAUUGCAUCACUACCAGAUGGACCUGCGUUGUAUUAGCUAGUAGGUGAGGUAACGGCUCACCUAGGCGACGAUACAUAGCCGACCUGAGAGGGUGAUCGGCCACACUGGGACUGAGACACGGCCCAGACUCCUACGGGAGGCAGCAGUAGGGAAUCUUCGGCAAUGGACGAAAGUCUGACCGAGCAACGCCGCGUGAGUGAAGAAGGUUGUCGGAUCGUAAAGCUCUGUUGUAAGAGAAGAACGGGUGUGAGAGUGGGAAGUUCACACUGUGACGGUAUCUUACCAGAAAGGGACGGCUAACUACGUG
Molecule: ribosomal RNA, 505 nt
Filed under: uncultured bacterium
Lineage: Bacteria
Description: partial 16S ribosomal RNA
Rfam family: Bacterial small subunit ribosomal RNA
Source: RNAcentral